GCUGACUUUUCUCAGGCAUAUGAAAGAUCAGAAUAAGAAGGUGGCCAACCUCAAGCACAAUCAACAGUUGGAAAAGAAGAAGAAUGCUCAGUUAUUAGAAGAAGUCCGCAGGCGAGAAGAUAGCAUGGCUGACAACUCACAGCAUUUGCAGAUAGAGGAACUGAUGAAUGCACUGGAGAAGACCAGACAGGAGCUGGAUGCCACCAAAGCACGCCUCGCCUCCACACAGCAGUCCCUGGCUGAAAAAGAAGCGCACUUGGCCAACCUCCGUAUUGAGAGGAGGAAACAGCUGGAGGAGAUCCUGGAGAUGAAACAGGAAGCACUACUUGCAGCCAUCAGUGAAAAAGAUGCAAACAUUGCUCUGCUGGAAUUGUCUGCCUCCAAAAAGAAAAAGACACAGGAAGAAGUCAUGGCCCUCAAGCGGGAAAAAGACCGACUAGUGCAUCAAUUAAAGCAGCAGGUGGGGCCUCCUGCAAGAAAGACCCAGAACAGAAUGAAGUUGAUGGCAGACAACUACGAUGAGGAUCAUCACCAUUACCACCACCACCACCAUCACCACCACCAUCGAUCUCCUGGGAGGUCGCAACAUUCCAAUCACAGGCCCUCUCCGGACCAGGAUGACGAGGAGGGCAUCUGGGCAUAGCCGGGCCUGUAAACCAAAGUUCCAGUUUUGUUUUGAGGGAUGAUCCAGCUCUGUCGGAGGCACAUAGGCACAGCCAGAUCUCAUGCUGUACAUUGGUCACCUGUCCAACCUUUGCCCAGAGUGGGAGCCCCCAGUCCCUUCAAGAUCCAACAUUACCUGUCUGUAAAGAAGAAGAGGAGGAGGGAGACAGCGGGGAGGAUCCGGUGGCAGUUUAACACCAGAGCAGGUCCAAUGUUUACUUUUACCCUUUUGGAGCUAUCAGAAGGGCUGAAUAAAGGGAACAUGCAGCUCUGCAGCAAUAUUCUGAUAAUCUAUUGCAGUGCGGCUCACAUCACUCACCACCACCUGGAGCGGCUCAUCAAAAUGGAAGGGGAGUUUUCACUUACAUUAUUGAGUGUGAUUCUGUUCUACUCGCUAUUUCCUUCAUCACCUCGUGUCAUUUCUCAUGGAUGUGGAUAUGUUGGAAAGGAAGAAUGCAGAGGAGGAGAAAAGUGAUAUGUCUUCUGUUUGUGUCUGGAUGCAGGCAUUUUGAAUGUGAUCAUCUUUGCUGAAUGUCAUUAUUUGAUAACAUUUUGUUUAAGUUACUUAAACAUCAUUGGAUAUAUUUGAACUCCAUGGGAUUUUAACUGUGGAUUCAGUUUCUGUUGGACAACUAGCCUCAUCUCCAGUAUCCUGCUGGUUCAGUCUAAGUGGUCAUUCCUAACGUAUUAGAUUGUCAAAAAGUGUAAAUUCUCUGUGAGUGAGUGGUGUUGGCAGUGUUUGUAUACCACAAUGCAUGGAGUGUUUGACAAAGAAACAAAAAACACCAAAAAUUGCGAGCCUUUACCCUCCUCUAUUUCUUUAAUCUGUUGUCUGAAGAACCGCAUUUUGAGGGUGUAACCAGUAGUUACCUCUGGGCCAGGUUGGAAAUGAAAUCAAUUUCUUAAACCACUAAUACUUGCCAAGAAACCGCCUUAUGAGAACAUGGUGUGUGUCUCUGACAAUGCAUGGCACAUCUAAAUUGAUCAUUCAUAAUUUUAUCUACCCAGGUCAUGUACCAGAAAGUGGCAAAAGCCUGAGGCACCUGCCUAUCUCUAGUUCCUGUGUUCCACACAUCCCCGUGGUGGGGAUGCCACCGAGCCUCAGACUCUUACCAUCCCGGUACAUGCAGGUCUCCAUGAAGAAGCUGGGACUCAUUUACAUUUCAAGAUCCAAAUGCUGUGCAAACAGUGUAAGCUUAGAUUUUCUGUAAAUGAAGGGUCAUUUCUCAUUUUUUUUUAAAAGAAAAUGUAUCUGCAACAUGGAAUCCAAAUCAUUUUCAGCAUCAAACAUGAAAACAUUGAUGAAUGAGGAACAAUCACAAAAGCUGUGUAUCUGUAUAUAGCUCUACACAACAUGUAUGUGGAUACAGUCAUUGUUUAAAGCACAUGCCAGGGAAAAAGACCAAAUUUUGAGGUCUUUUACAUACAGUGAUAUGGUACUAAGGAGAAUUAAACUCCUACUGCUUCCUCUGAAUAUUAAAAAACAACUAAAAUUGUUGUAACUUCAUAAAAUUCAUGACUGAGUCUGGCAAACAUGUGCAACUCUUGUAUUGCUCCAUUUCCUUGUCAAUGGAAGAAACCCUUCUACGUGUAUGCAAGUGGGAGAUGAAAACCUGCAUUUUUAAAGGACAAACAGUGAAUUUAAGCAUGAGUGGCCUUAAUAAAUAUAGUUGUCUUUCUUUGCUGCUGUGGAAAGGAUACUAAACAGAUGUUCCUGAAGUCUUGCAUUGACUUUAGUCGUUAUUAUUACUUUUUUAAAUGUUGAUGCAAUUAACUCUGGACCUCUCUCGUGAG
This is an RNA transcript of Cebus imitator (Panamanian white-faced capuchin), 2457 nucleotides long. It is a transcript of the gene named ERC protein 2-like, with no coding region annotated. The transcript is spliced from 7 exons. The record is from RefSeq and is a predicted model, not a curated record. Lineage: Eukaryota; Metazoa; Chordata; Mammalia; Primates; Cebidae.